RNAcentral lists this transfer RNA (91 nucleotides) under Pseudomonas marginalis. Its description in RNAcentral is "tRNA-Val". Lineage: Bacteria; Pseudomonadati; Pseudomonadota; Gammaproteobacteria; Pseudomonadales; Pseudomonadaceae. The record is from RNAcentral.
AGCUCAGCUGGGAGAGCAUCUGCCUUACAAGCAGAGGGUCGGCGGGUUUGGGGCUGCUACGCAGCCCAGCGCGGGGCAAGCCCGCUCACCA